Molecule: ribosomal RNA, 253 nt
Filed under: uncultured bacterium
Lineage: Bacteria
Description: partial 16S ribosomal RNA
Rfam family: Bacterial small subunit ribosomal RNA
Source: RNAcentral
UACAGAGGGGGCAAGCGUUGUUCGGAAUUACUGGGCGUAAAGGGCGCGUAGGCGGCCUGCUAAGUCGAACGUGAAAUCCCUGGGCUCAACCCAGGAACUGCGUCCGAUACUGGUUGGCUUGAAUCCGGGAGAGGGACGUGGAAUUCCAGGUGUAGCGGUGAAAUGCGUAGAUAUCUGGAGGAACACCGGUGGCGAAGGCGACGUCCUGGACCGGCAUUGACGCUGAGGCGCGAAAGCUAGGGGAGCAAACGGG